UAGCUAGUUGGUGAGGUAACGGCUCACCAAGGCGACGAUGCAUAGCCGACCUGAGAGGGUGAUCGGCCACAUUGGGACUGAGACACGGCCCAAACUCCUACGGGAGGCAGCAGUAGGGAAUCUUCGGCAAUGGACGAAAGUCUGACCGAGCAACGCCGCGUGAGUGAAGAAGGUUUUCGGAUCGUAAAACUCUGUUGUUAGAGAAGAACAAGGAUGAGAGUAACUGUUCAUCCCUUGACGGUAUCUAACCAGAAAGCCACGGCUAACUACGUGCCAGCAGCCGCGGUAAUACGUAGGUGGCAAGCGUUGUCCGGAUUUAUUGGGCGUAAAGCGAGCGCAGGCGGUUUCUUAAGUCUGAUGUGAAAGCCCCCGGCUCAACCGGGGAGGGUCAUUGGAAACUGGGAGACUUGAGUGCAGAAGAGGAGAGUGGAAUUCCAUGUGUAGCGGUGAAAUGCGUAGAUAUAUGGAGGAACACCAGUGGCGAAGGCGGCUCUCUGGUCUGUAACUGACGCUGAGGCUCGAAAGCGUGGGGAGCAAACAGGAUUAGAUACCCUGGUAGUCCACGCCGUAAACGAUGAGUGCUAAGUGUUGGAGGGUUUCCGCCCUUCAGUGCUGCAGCUAACGCAUUAAGCACUCCGCCUGGGGAGUACGACCGCAAGGUUGAAACUCAAAGGAAUUGACGGGGGCCCGCACAAGCGGUGGAGCAUGUGGUUUAAUUCGAAGCAACGCGAAGAACCUUACCAGGUCUUGACAUCCUUUGACCACUCUAGAGAUAGAGCUUCCCCUUCGGGGGCAAAGUGACAGGUGGUGCAUGGUUGUCGUCAGCUCGUGUCGUGAGAUGUUGGGUUAAGUCCCGCAACGAGCGCAACCCUUAUUGUUAGUUGCCAUCAUUUAGUUGGGCACUCUAGCAAGACUGCCGGUGACAAACCGGAGGAAGGUGGGGAUGACGUCAAAUCAUCAUGCCCCUUAUGACCUGGGCUACACACGUGCUACAAUGG
This 998-nucleotide ribosomal RNA is filed under the name Enterococcus hirae. RNAcentral describes it as "bacterial SSU rRNA". It matches the Rfam family "Bacterial small subunit ribosomal RNA", at positions 242 to 1233 of the family's 1533-position model. The record is from RNAcentral. Lineage: Bacteria; Bacillati; Bacillota; Bacilli; Lactobacillales; Enterococcaceae.